Branchiostoma floridae (Florida lancelet) is the source of this 1415-nucleotide long non-coding RNA. RefSeq lists it as uncharacterized. The transcript has 2 exons. NCBI's taxonomy places the organism in Eukaryota, Metazoa, Chordata, Leptocardii, Amphioxiformes, Branchiostomatidae. The record is from RefSeq and is a predicted model, not a curated record.
CAUAUCCAGUUGCUUGAGUAACUACUUUUUGGCGUAUCUUAUUACCUGGAUGUCUAACCUACAUCGACAAACUUAAGUUGUAUAACGUUAUUCCAAGAUUAAAUCAAAUUUAAUUUUUUAUCAAAUUCAAAAAAGAUCUCUCUGCAUUGCAGGAGUGCACUGUUCCCACAUUAAACUAUGUUUACUUCAGCAUUGUUUUUAAUAUCUUGUGUAUUGAUGUUUGUAUGUCAAUGACUCUUCACGGACCAAUCGCCAGUCGCUAUGCAUCAGCCAAUGAUGCCCGUGGAUGAUUGAUUGCUUGACCAAUCACAGACCAGUGGUGCUUUUUGCACCUGCUCUGGGCACACCUUUGUCAGCCUGCCGAGACCAUUGUCUUGUCAUUGACGGUCGACUAUUCAACCAAGCAACACCUUACCCAAUUCUUCACACGAGCCCGUAUACCGUAAGCGGGAAUGUCUGUCCUCCGCAAGAGAAGCGAGGGGCUGGGCAAGGGAGCAGGAGAAAGUCACCGUGAUGUUCUUCACGUCAAUGUCCGGGGAGAUGCAAGAAGAAUCUCCGAGUUUAUCUACAAGGAGAACUGCCGCGUUUUCAUCGGUGAGACUGAUAACUGGCUCUGCUUAGCAAUAGUCGUCAGAGGUGAGGCAAAUGACGCAUACUCGUCUCUUCUCCUCACCGCACCGUGCGCUGAACUGUCUUGCCUCGGGCCAGGGAGGCUAGAGCUGCCGAAGGGAUGCACCAAGCGUCACCGUAAGGCCGGGGAGAUGUCAAGAGAAUCUGAAACGUCUGAAAGCUGAAGGAGGCAGGGGCUCCCGAAGGGAUCGAUGUGAUGAGCGUCAGCGUAACGUCACCGUGCGUAACCUUUUAAGUUUCGGUAGACGUCACGAGAAUCCCCGGCGCAUCUUGAGAAUGACCGGUUUUCAAAAGGGUUCACCGACGUCAAGGCCAGACAUGACGAGGUAUACUCAAUUCUGUAUUGUGUGAAUGAAGGCUUUGAGUAAUAACAGCUGUUUUGUAGCACUCAUAACAAAAAAAGAACUGAUUCCGAACACAACCCAGAUUUUGUAAUUGUAAGGUCCAUAAUUUGAAACUGUUAACUUGCCGAUAAUGAAUUCAUUGACGACUUGUUCUUUCACUUGUCCGACUUUUAGUUGCUAUUACGAUAGGACUAUUUUCAGUUUGGACAAGCACAUUUCCAUUUGUCUGGUAUUUGCGCAGUAUAUAGUGUAUAGACUUGACAAUAGUAGCAUUCUGGGCGUCCAGUUCUAACUGUAUGUCGCGUUCACGCUCACUAUCGGACAGCCGUUCAGUUUGUUGAUUUUUGUUUACCAAAAGUUUCGUUGUUCCCGCUUAAGCAAUAAUGCAAUUCAAAUUAUGUGCUUAACUUCUUGCAUUUAAUAAAAUCUUCUUAUACAUGG